Molecule: ribosomal RNA, 253 nt
Filed under: uncultured bacterium
Lineage: Bacteria
Description: partial 16S ribosomal RNA
Rfam family: Bacterial small subunit ribosomal RNA
Source: RNAcentral
UACGUAGGCAGCGAGCGUUGUUCGGAAUUACUGGGCGUAAAGAGUGUGUAGGCGGUGCUCUAAGUUCGGUGUGAAAUCUCCCGGCUUAACUGGGAGGGUGCGCCGGAAACUGGAGUGCUCGAGCGUGGGAGAGGAAAGCGGAAUCCCCGGUGUAGCGGCGAAAUGCGUAGAUAUCGGGAGGAACACCUGCGGUGUAGACGGCUUUCUGGACCAUUGCUGACGCCGAGACACGAAAGCGUGGGUAGCAAACAGG